RNAcentral lists this unclassified non-coding RNA (344 nucleotides) under Cytisus nigricans. Its description in RNAcentral is "partial external transcribed spacer". The record is from RNAcentral. Lineage: Eukaryota; Viridiplantae; Streptophyta; Magnoliopsida; Fabales; Fabaceae.
CGGUUGCGGCUCUGGUGUUCGCUUUUGGUUCUUGUGUUGCCUACCCGUUUAGCGGUAUUCAUGUGCGUCUUAAGACCCGUUCCAUCCAGACCCCUUCUAGGGGCUGCUGGGGGAUUCCAAAGUGAUGCAUGUUUUGCGUUAGCUGUGCGUUGUAACGGCUCGCGUGCUCACAUGUGUUUAUUUUUCCCUUGGAUGCGGUGCAUGCGACGAACGUGGGCUGAUGAUUGUGCCCCGUUGAGUCCCUUUGAUUUAUCGGUUGCCUUGAAUGACACUUUGCCGUAGUGCUGGUCUUGCUUUACCAUUCUUGGGGGCAACACUUGCACGUCGAGCAGAGUUGUUGAUGG